UGGGGGAAUAUUGCACAAUGGGGGGAAACCCUGAUGCAGCGACGCCGCGUGGAGGAAGAAGGUCUUCGGAUUGUAAACUCCUGUCGUUGGGGACGAUAAUGACGGUACCCAACAAGAAAGCCACGGCUAACUACGUGCCAGCAGCCGCGGUAAAACGUAGGUGGCAAGCGUUGUCCGGAAUUACUGGGUGUAAAGGGAGCGCAGGCGGAAGGACAAGUUGGAAGUGAAACCCACGGGCUCAACCCGUGAACUGCUUUCAAAACUGUUUUUCUGAGUGGUGUAGAGGUAGGCGGAAUUCCCGGUGUAGCGGUGGA
This 314-nucleotide ribosomal RNA is filed under the name uncultured Faecalibacterium sp. RNAcentral describes it as "bacterial SSU rRNA". It matches the Rfam family "Bacterial small subunit ribosomal RNA", at positions 354 to 685 of the family's 1533-position model. The record is from RNAcentral. Lineage: Bacteria; Bacillati; Bacillota; Clostridia; Eubacteriales; Oscillospiraceae.